CUGCAGGAGUUCUUCAAAUACAUCUUCCAGAGUGAUAAUCCCAAUGACUUCACCCUCCUCGAUAUCCUCUGAUACCUGGAGCAAACCAUUUGUUGCUUUCUCACUAUGGGGUGAAAAAGUUUCCUUGUGUCUAUGAAGGGGCCUUGGUAUCCUGGGUAUAACAACAACAACACUGUCCGGCUUUCCAUCUUGCUUGGAUAGCAAGGGAGUAGUCAGUUGGGAGUCCGUGCCAGUGUCUCCGUUCCAUUCAUCUCUCCUUCCAUCAAUGGUUGGUUGAGGAUUUUUUAUCAAGAUAUGGAUGGGAAAAUAAGACACAGGAAUGGAGAUAUCAGCGCUCUUAACUUGUUUUUUUUUUUUUUUUUUUUAGAAUGUAAGUUACAAAAUUACCCUUUAUAGUGGUAAAUUCUUUCACACACAUCUAUCUCCUCCAUCCUUUAUCGUUGCUACCUUCUCUCUUUUUCUCUACAAUUCCCUCACGCGCCAUCGCCUCGCAUUCAAACCCUUUGUCUCCUCUUCCAAACCCUCACUCCUGGCGAUGAAGGACCGGCCUCCUUCCUCGUACGACUCCGUCUACAUCCCUCCCGACCAUUGCCUCUGCUCCAUCAUCACCACCCCUAAUUAUACCUCCCAUGUUUCAAUCUGCUCCAAGCUCCAGGAAAAACCAGACUGCUGCUGUUGUUGCUGCUCUCAACCGGAGGAGCAGCACCAAUGGUGCUCUGGUGUAGUACCAAAAUUAGCAGCAGCAGGAGUAUAAACCCAAGCUAUAGCAGACUUCUAUUUACGACAACAACGUUUCCGAUAAAGGCUUUGAUCGCAAAGUUGAGUUGUCACCGCAUCCGGUGAUGUUUCUAUACGUGGAUUGUGUACUCGUAGAGUUGUUAAUUGGGAAGUAUGCGUGUUUACUAAGUGUGAAUUGGUGAUUGAGUUUUGUUGAUGCACAAAAUCAGUGAGGACUUUGGUACAACAGAAAGUGUUAAGUUUGUAACCUUCGCUAGAUUGCUCCGGUCACUAGCGUGGAUAAGUAUGUAAAUGGAUAGGGACAGGGAAGCAAACACAAGAUGUACAUGGUUCACCCAGAUUGGCUACGUCCACGGAGUAAAGGAGUUCUCAUUAAUUAUGAAGGGUUUACACAAGUACAUAGGUUCAAGCUCUCCUUUAGUAAGUACCAGUGAAUGAUUUAGUACAAAUGACAUUAGGAAAUAUUGUGAGAGAAUGAUCUCUAUUUAUAGAAGAGAGUUUCUAGUUUCAUUCUGACAUUGACACGUGUCAUGUUGUGAUUGGCUUCUGAUGUUGACACGUGUCGCGCUAUGAUUGGCUUCUGAUGUCGACACGUGUCGCGCUGUGAUUGGCCUCCUGGUUGUAGGGAAACUCUUCUGGGUCCUUGACGGUAUAACGUUGACCGGUGCUCAAUAGUUUCUAGAUUGGUCAAGUAUGGUAUAAACAGUGCUCCCCUAAGUUCCCGAGUGAGGGAAGCUCCUUAGUUGGGGACUUGUAAGAUCUAAGCCAUUGAGUAAUCACGAAACUUCUGUUGGAAAUGUGCCCUAAAGCCAAUCAUAUGAUGAUACUUUACGGACAUUUCACAUGUUAAACUAAUCUAGUUUAAUAUAAAGGGCAAAGAUUAUUGUUUGAGCCGUCUCAUAUAAAUGUUAUAUGCUUAAACGAUAAAGUCCAAGGAAUAUGUGAUUGGGAGAAUGUAAUCUAAUGAAGUUAGAUUCAUGAGACCAUUCUUUCGUAGACACAUCCUAAAUGUUCCUGAUCAUAGGAUUGCCAAUUGGGCAUUGACAGUCCAUCAAGAUCGGUACGUGCUAUGUCUUCUCUCAGGGAGAGUGACUAGUCUCGAGUCAUUGGUGUGUGUGACAUCAAGACAAGUACGUAGGUGCUCAAUAGAGAAUGAGUUCACUGAACGUGAUCGACGAAGAGUUCUCAUACUCAUGUCACAUGAGAACUCAUGGUUGGGAUAAUGCAAAGUAGUCCUUUGACCUGAGGCAUCAUAGUUGUCUUGUGGUUAAGUCCUUGAUCUUUGAUUAUGUCAAAGUCACUCCAUCAGGAGGGUGUCCACGGCAUCGUUGGGGUUAAGCCACUUAGCCAUGGAGGCAAGUGAAUGCGCAACAAGGGAUCUCUAACCUUCAAACUGUUUGAGGGAGAAUACUCUAUGAUAUGAUUUAGAAUCUCUGGCCAGAGUAUGAAUGAGAUUUAGAAAAGUCGUUCUAAAUCACAUUCAAGGAAAUCAUAUAAGCACACGAAUCACAUUGGAUAGUAGACAUGAACAUAUAAACUAUCAAACCAAACAAUGUGGUCAAGAGUAUUGUAGAUUAGAGAAAGACCGUAUUGCAUUUGUAAUCCCAAACUGAAUAGGUUUCUCUGACCUCUUUCUGAUUAGCUUGGGUAACCAUGAUAUGCUGCUAGGUGUCACUCAUGGUUUGUGGAAGCCCUAAACGUGUGUAAUCACUAAAGGGAGAAUUGAAAGUAAGUUUCAAAUUCACAAUCGAUGUAAAAAUGGUUUUAAUCGCCCACUGCCUCGCUAAAAGGAACCUAAUGGAUCGCACACCAUAAGAGGUGGAGAUUGGAGAUUAAUCGGAGAUGAGUAAGAAUGAUUAAAUGGUUUAAUCAUUUAUUUAUGGCAAGGAUUAAUUAAUAUGUUAAUUAAUCAAACGAAUAAGUUCGUUAAAGACCUCGGGGAUAGUUUUGGACCUUAAGGCCCAAUGGGCUUCGAACGUCAAGUCCAUUGACUUAAGUUGUAUGACAACUUAAUGAAUAAUGAUUCACAAAGGCCUAAUUAGCCCAAAAUACCCUAGGGCCGGCCAUGAUGCUAAGGGUAGUGAACUUGGACUUAUUUACAAGUUUGCCACUCAAAUGAAUAAAGGUAUAAAUAUGACUUUAUAGCCUAAAAUUCAUCAGGGUUUUGUUUUGGGGAAAAUUGGAGAGAACAUGUCUCUCCAUUUCUCUCUAAAGAGGCCGGCCACCUUGGGGGGUACAUCUAGCAAUCCUACUACUCCAAGGUCACUCAUAUCUUCUCCAAUCUCUCCUUGGUGAAGAGACUUAGAGGUUCCCUAUUUUGGGAACUUGGAGAAACCUAUUCUUCCAUCCAAAUCCAUAGAUUUAAGAUGCAAGGAAUGAAGGCCCUCUCUUUGGGUGAUUAGCCUUUGCUUAUGCAAAGAGGAAUCUUCAAAGGUAUAAAUUUCCACUCACUUUGUUUUGAGUUGAUUAAUGGUUCACCAAUCUACUAGGCUUUGAAUUUCUUGGUUAAUGUUUUGUUUUUAAGUGCAUGCUAGCAUGAUUCCGCCUUUAAUUGUUAAUUGCAUGCUAUAUGAUGUUGCUUAAAUGAACAUGUUUUCACAAAAACAUCCUUCAACUUCUAAGUACCGAAGUGUGGUAUCAUUUUCACUUGCCUUAUCUGUCUCAUACCAGGGGUUCCAGGCAGUCAGUUCCUGACUGGAAGCUUGAUUCCAAAUGUUGACUGAUUGCUCUCUUUCUCCUUGUUUUGCAGGUAAGAAUAAGGGCAAAGGAAAAGACAGGGAAAAAGCAUGAUAUGGGAUACUCUUGCUUUUGACCCUGAUGAUAUGAGAUACUCUUUCUCUGGUGUGGUUGGUUUGCAUAGGUAUUAUUGGGGGGAAGAAAACUGAGUAUUUCGAGAGGCUUCGUUGGGAGUGCCUUAUCAGAUAUGAGGAAGGGUUGAGCAUUUUUGCAGGUCUGCCUGUCCGUGGAGGAUGAAGGUCAACAUAUAUAGGAGUCUCCCUAACAACAAAUAGUAAUGCUAUUCCUUUACCCUUCUUGGUCGAAAGCUUCACGUGUUUUAACUUUGUCAGAGCACUUUGAAAAAGUGGUAUGUGGUAUAUGGAAAGUUGAUGUUGCGUGUGAAGAUUGCAGACAAGCUUUAUCCAAGAAAAUCUGGCUCUCGAAGUUCGGAGAGCGAUGCCUCUUCGGUUUUCGAACAAGCAAUCCUGUCGGGGAUCUGGCUCUCGAGAUUUAGAGAGCGGUGCCUCUUCAAUUUUUGAGAAAGCAAUCCUGUUGGGAGUCUGGCUCUUGAGAUUCGGAGAGCGGUGCCUCUUCAAUUUUUGAGAAAGAAAUCCUGUUGGGAGUCUGGCUCUCGAGAUUCGGAGGGCGGUGCCUCUUUGAUUUUUGAGCGAGUAAUAAUGUUAUUCCUUUACCUUUCUUGGUCAUAGCAAUGUAGUAGGAGCUGUAAGCUUCACAUGUUUUAACUUUGUCAGAGCGCUUUGAAAAAGUGGUAUGUGGUAUCUGGAAAGCUGAUGUUACGUGUGAAGAUUACAGACAAGCUUUAUCCAAGUAAAUCUGUCUCUCGAGAAAGUAAUCCUGUUGGAAGUCUGGCUCUCGAGAAAGUAAUCCUGUUGGGAGUCUAGCUCUCGAGAUUUUGAAAGUGGUUCCUCUUUGAUUUUUUAGCAAGCAAUCUUGUUGGGAGUGUUUUCUUGAAUGUGAGUAAAGGUUGGACAUUUUUGCUAGUCUGCCUUGCCACGGAGCACGGAGGUUGACACACAUUGGUACUUUCUAGUUAUCAAGCAGUGGUGUUGUUCCUUUACCCUUGUGGGUAAUAGUAGGGUAGCUGGACCUUCAAAAUUUAUGUGUCUAAACUUUGUCAGAGAUCUUUGGCAAAUUUAUCUAUGGUACUCGAUGAGCUGAUGUUGCGUGUGGAAAGUGGUGCCUCUUCGAAAUCCGAAGAGUGGUGCCUCUUCGAUUUUUGAACCAACGGCCCUGUUGCCCUUUCUUUUAUAAGGGCACCAAUUGUGUGCAAGGAGUACAUUCAGAGAGUAAUUGCUUGUAGGAAUUUUCCCCUUACUUCAGAGAUUUAUUGCACCUCAUUUCUCCUUCAUCAUUUCUGAGAAUGUCUGGCCCAUCCGACAGUCGUUUUGACUUGAACUUUGGUGAAGAGGCAGCCAUGCCUUCUCAAGACAACAUAUGGCGCCCAUCCUUCUUAUCCCAUACUGGUUCUCUUACCGUUGGGGACUCUGUGAUGAAAAAUGAUAUGAUCGCUGCGGUGGUGGCCAGGAACCUUUUCACUCUCAAAGAUAACAGACUACUUUCCAAACGGUCUGUUGAGUUGGCUGUUAAGGAUUCUCUAGCUCUCAGUGUUCAGUAUGCAGGUUCUGUGUCUAAUAUGGCCCAACGCUUAUUUGCUCGAACCCGCCAAGUUGAAUCAUUGGCGACUGAAGUGAUAAGUCUCAAACAGUUGCACAGGCUCGCACAUGACUAUGCUACAAACAUGAAGAGGUAGCUCGACCAACUGCAGGAAUCUGAUGGUCAGAUUUUACUUGAUCAUCAGAGGUUUGUGGGUUUGUUCCAAAGGCAUUUAUUGCCCUCGUCUUCUAGGGUUGUACUGCGUAAUGAAGCUCCAAAUGAUCAACCUUCGGUGCCUCUUCCUUAUGGGGUUCUGCCUAGUACUGAGACUCCGAAUAAUCACUCUCUGGUGCCUCCUCUUUCUGGGGCUCUUUCAACUGCUAAGACUUCUCCUGAGCAACCUUUGUGAAGGCUCCUUCUUGUUUGUUUAUUUUGAUUCAUGUAUAUGUACAUAUUUGUAACUUAUCAGAGAUAUCAAUAAACAAGCUUUGCUUCAUUUCAAGGUAUUGUGUUAAAUACACCAAGGCCUUCUUCACUAAGUUCUUUGAAUUUUUCCUUUUAUUGAAGCUUGUAUGUUGAAACUUUGUGAGUGAAACAUGUAGAUUGAGGUAGUGCUCUCUUAAUUUCCCGAGUGAGAAAAACUUCUCGUUUGGAGACUUGAAAAAUCCAAGUCACUAAGUGGUCGUGAGACUUCCGAGUAUCAAGAUGCAGUAACAUAUGGUAGGAGUCCUCCAAGUCUCCGAUCGAGGGAGUUGACGAAUAAGGCAUUUCCUUUCUAAGUGGUAGCCCAAAACUCCUUCUUCAUAUAUAUUUAUUAUGAAAGUUGUUAGGCCUAAAGAAGAGGAGGCCUAUGCAAUUUUUGUUUUUUCGAAAUUUUUUUUUCGAUUUUUUUUUUCGAAUUUUCAAAUUUUUGAAUUUUUGAAUUUUUGAAUUUCCGAAUAAAUAAAUAAAUAUAUAUAUAUAUAUAUAUAUAUAUAUAUUUUUUUUUUUUUUAAAGCUUUGUAGGUGAAACUUUGGUGUUGAAGCUUUGUAGGUGAAGCUUUAAGGUCGAAGCUUUGUUGGGCACCAUGAAUUGAUUUUGCUUCACACUAUCUUGAUCAAGAUAGUGUGAAGCUUUUGUAGGUGAAGCUUUUGUAUUGAAGCUUUGUAGGUGAAGCUUUUGUAGGUGAAGCUUUUGUGGGUCAAGCUUUUGUAGGUGAAGCUUUGGUGGGUCAAGCUUUUGUAGGUGAAGCUUUUGUGGGUGAAGCUUUUAUGGGUGAAGCUUUUAUGGGUGAAGCUUUUGUAGGUGAAGCUUUUGUGGGUCAAGCUUUUGUAGGUGAAGCUUUUGUGGGUGAAGCUUUUAUGGGUGAAGCUUUUGUAGGUGAAGCUUUUGUGGGUCAAGCUUUUGUAGGUCAAGCUUUUGUGGGUGAAGCUUUUGUGUUAAAGCAUUUAUGGGUGAAGCUUUGGAGUUGAAGCUUUGUAGGUGAAGCUUUGGAGUUGAAGCUUUUGUUGGGUACCAUGAAUUGAUUUUGCUUCACACUAUCUUGAUCAAGAUAGUGUGAAGCUUUUCAGAAUUUGUAGUUGUCCUCCAUUAAUGAAGCUUUGUUGAAUUUCCUUUUUUUUUUUUUUUUUGGGAAACUAGAAAUUUGAAAAUGUGGGAGAGACAACAUAUACAAAUUUUGCUUCCACACCGUUGAGCAAGAGAUUGUGAUGCAAGCCACACCUUGUAGUAGUCGAAGGUUUGGAUGAACCAUAUAAAUUGAAUUUGCUUCGAAGGUUUGAAAAUUGUAGUUGCCCUCCAUUGAUGAAGGUUUUGUUGGCACCAUAAAUUGGUUUUGCUUCACACUGUCUUGAUCAAGAGUGUGUGAAGCUUUUGAGAAUUGUGGUUGAACUCUUUUGAUGAAGCUUUUGUUGGUACCAUAAAUUGGUUUUGCUUCACACUAUCUUGAUCAAGAGUGUUUGUAGCUUUUGAGGAUUGUGGUUGAACUCCUUUGAUGAAGCUCUUGUUGGCACCAUAAAUUGGUUUUGCUUCACAUUGUCUUGAUUAAGAGUGUGUGCAGCUUUUGAGAAUUGUGGUUGCCCUUCAUUGAUGAAGCUCUUGUUGUUGGCACCAUAAAUUGGUUUUGCUUCACACUGUCUUGAUCAAGAAUGUGUGAAGCUUUUGAGAAUUGUGGUUGCCCUCUAUUGAUGAAGCUUUUGUUGGCACCAUAAAUUGGUUUUGCUUCACACUGUCUUGAUCAAGAGUGUGUGAAGCUUUCUACGAGUUGUAGUGUUUGCAUUGUUAUAGAGGGGAAAUGUCUGAAGCAGAUGCAAAAGGGCUGAAUAGCUUGAUCUUCGUAUGCCAUGCACUGAAGUUGUUGUUGGCUUGCAAUAAGACUUUGUUGGUGACUAUAACUCUUGUUGGGCAUAAGUGCUCCCCUAGUUGAGUUGUCAAGCUUGAGGGUUUUUGAUUAUUUGUGAAUGCUAGGAGUUCACAUGUAUAAGUUGUACCACUCGUCUUCUGGUAACUGGAAUGAAUGGUGAGUUGCUUUCAUCACUUGGUUAGUGGUAUGAAGAUGAGUUCUUUCUUUACUUAGUUGGUGGCAUGAGUGGCAAGUUGCUAAAUGAUAUUAGAGUACGGGUUGUACAUUUCAUUACCUGGUUGGUGGCAUGAAUGAGACUACGGGUUGUACAUUUUAUCACCUGGUUGGUGGCACGAAGAUGAGUUCCUUUUUCACCUGGUUGGUGGCAUGAGUGGCAAGUUGCCAAAUGAGUUCCUUCUUCACCUGGUUGGUGGCAUGAAGGAGAGUACAGGUUGUACAUUUCAUCACUUGGUUGGUGGCAUGAAGAUGAGUUCCUUCUUCACCUGGUUGGUGGCAUGAGUGGCAAGUUGCCAAAUGAUACGGGUUGUACAUUUCAUCAUUUGGUUGGUGGCAUGAAGAUGAGUUCCUUUUUCACCUAGUUGGUGGCAUGAGUGGCAAGCUGCCAACUGAUAUUAGAGUACGGGUUGUACAUUUCAUCACCUGGUUAGUGGCAUGAAGAAGAGUACGGGUUAUACAUUUCAUCACCUGAUUGGUAAGAAUAAAGGCAAGGUGUCGAGGCACAUUGUAGCAAGUGUCGAAGACACAAAGUAUGUUGAACCCUUUCGAAGCACAAUUGGCUUAUAUAUGAAUGUGUUGGAAUGUAUGAUUAAACGAAUAUACUGUGAAGUUGUUCGUUUAUUUGUAUAGUCUUGUUGACUUAUACUUAGACUUUGUUUCAUGUUGGAAGCAUUCAUGUUGAAGCUUUGAACCCGAGUGUUUCAUUGCUAGGAAUGUAAGAGGAUUAGGAUCGAGUUGUCUAAAUCACCUCUUUAUUGAAUUCAUGCCAAAUAGUCUUCGUUACAUAGAAUGCCGAACGGCUGAAGCUUAACACUUGUACAAUGUGAGUUUACUUGUAAUAGUACUUCAGGUGAUCAUCGUUCCAUGGAUGGCCAAGGGUUUUGCCAUCGGAGCUUCUAAGCUUGUAGGAGCCAGGGCGACUGAUGCCAACAACUUCAAAUGGUCCAUCCCAGUUUGGACUAAGUGUUCAUUCACUCGGAACUCUGUCGCAGAGUAAUCUUUUCUUUAAUACCCAGUCCCUUACUUUGGAAAAACGAGGUUUGACCCUUGAGUCAUAGUAGUUGGAGAUGCGCUACUGGUAGGCGACAUUCCUUAAGUGAGCCUGGUUUCUGUGUUCCUCGACUAGAUCUAAGUUGAUGGUAAGUUGUUUGUCAUUUUCUUUACACGUAGUUCUGGACUCGGAACGUUGCUUGCUCAAGCUCAACUGGGACAACUGCCUCUGUACCAAAAGCAAGUGAGAAUGGGGUUUCUUCUGUUGAUGUCCGAUUCGAAGUGCGAUAUGACCAAGGAACUUGGGGUACAAAUUCUGGCCAACAACCUUUAGCCUUGUCCAAGCUGGUUUUCAAGGUUUGGUUGAUUAUUUUGUUGAUGGCUUCAACUUGUCCAUUAGACUGAGGAUGAGCUGGGGAGACAAAACAUAAGUUGAUGUUGAACUUAGAGCAAAACAUCCUGAACUUAUUGUUAUCGAACUGUCGCCUGUUGUCAGUGACUAUUGCAUUGGGAAUGCCAAAUCUGCAAAGAAUGUUCUUCCAUACGAAGUCUUCUAUUUUGCCUCAGUAAUGAUUGCCAAGGGUUCUACUUCGUUGCAGGCAUUGGGCUGAUCAAAUCAAGUCCCCAUUGGGCGAAGGGCCAAGGGUUGAUCAUAGGAGUGAGCAGCUCGGGAAAAUAGUGAGGAAUAGUUACGUAGCGUUGACACUUAUCACAUGAGCGGGAUAUUCUGAUGGCAUCUUGGUGAAGUGUUGGCCAGUAAUAUCCUUGGCGAAAAGCCUUGUGUGUUAGGGAUCGAGAUCCAGCAUGAUCUCCUCAGACUCCUUCAUGUAUUUCCAGAAUGACAAUUUCCGCCUCUGCAGGCGUAAGGCAUCUUAGGUAUGGUAGGUUAAAACGCCGCUUGUAGAGUUGGUCAUUAAUGAUCAAGUAACGGGUAGCCUUGUAUCAAAUCUGCUUAGCUUGAACUUUGUCAUUUGGAAGGGUGCCAUGAGCAAGGAAUCUAUAAAUCAGGGUAAUCCAACUAUCUCCUUGUUGUAAGUUGCACACUUUUGCAGCCAUGGUGCUUGGUGCUGCCAACAAUUUGACCUGAAUUUUUCUCCCAAUCUUGUCUUCCACCGUUGAGGUGAGGUGAGCCAAAGCAUCCGCAUGACUGUUUGCCGCUCGAGGAAUUUGGGUGAUUUGGUAUUGGAAGUGCUUGAGCAACAAUUGUGUUUGUGCCAGAUAUGCUGCCGUGAAGCUAUCCUUAGCGUCAAAGUUGUUGGUGACCUGGUUAACCACCAAUUAGGAGUCACUGAAGAUAUCAAUUCGUUUAACCCCAAGGUGUUUGGCCAAACGUAAGCCUGCUAGGAGGGUUUCAUAUUCGGCCUCAUUGUUCAACGCCUUGAAUUUGAAACGAAUAGCAUACUCUAUCGCCACUUUGUCAGGGGACGUAAGGACUAGUCCUUCUCCACAACCCUGUUGGUUUGACGAGCCAUCAACAUAUAGACUCCAUGUUGAGGCUGUUGGUUCUAUUUUCUGAGCUUCCGAGGGUAAUGAAACCACUUCUUUAGGCAUAGAAAUAAUGUCAACAGGAUAUGUGAAGUCGGCGAUGAAGUCUGCCAUUACUUGGCCUUUCUUAGCUGGCUUUGGUUGGUAGGAGAUGUCAAACUCACCCAAUGUUAUUGCCCAUUUGAUCAUUCGCCCGUAAGUGUCAGGACUUUGGAGUAUUUGUCGAAGAGAAUGAUUGGUAAGCACGAUGAUGGAGUGUGCUUGGAAGUAAGGGCGAAGUUUUCGAGCAGACAUGACCAAUGCUAGAGCCAAUUUCUCAAUGUUGGAGUAUCGUGUCUCCGCAUCUUGUAAGGCCUUGCUAGCAUAGUAGACAGGUCGUUUGACAUUACCGUCCUUUCAAAUGAGAACAUAACUUACUGCUGAAGCCAAUACCGAUAGAUAGAUAAUGAGAGUGUCACCAACUUCAGGUUUGGAGAGCAAAUGGGCUUUACUCAUGUAGUCUUUAAGGUUCUUGAAUGCCUCAGCACAUUCAUCAAUCCAUGUAAUGUACUUCUUACUUCCCUUAAGUGCUUUAAAGAAAGGAGCAUAUAUGUCUGUGGCCUUAGAGAUGAACCUAGUUAAGGCUGCCACAUUGCCAGUAAGGCUCUGGAUGUCUUUUGAAGUUACCGAUUCCUUCAUGUCGAGGAUUGCUUUGAUCUUCUCGGGAUUAGCCUCAAUGCCUCGUUGGCUUAUCAUGAAGCCUAAGAAUUUUCCAGAGCCUACGCCGAAGGCACAUUUGUUGGGGUUCAACCUCAUUCGAUACCUCUUCAGAAUGGUGAAAGUUUCAGAUAGGUUGGUGAUGUGUUGGUCAGCAUGUUUGCUCUUGACUAGCAUAUCAUCAACGUAAACUUUCAUGCUCUUCCCAAUCUGUUCGGCGAUCAUUGAAUUGACCAGUCUCUGAUAAGUCACUCCUGCAUUCUUUAGGCCGAAGGGCAUGAUAAUAGUGAAGGCUGUGUGUUCUUGGUCUUGAGGGUUCAUGAGGAUUUGGUUGUAUCCUGAGUAAGCAUCCAUGAAGCUCAAGAGUUCACACCCUACCGUAGAGUCUAUAAGUCUGUCUAUGAGAGGAAGAGGAAAGCUAUCCUUUGGGCAUCCUUUGUUUAGGUCGAUGUAAUCGACACAUAUUCUCCACAAGACCCUUUGGAACAUGAGACUUUCCUUGGGCGAAUUCUUCUUAACAAGGAUAACAUUUGCUACCUACGUUGGAUAAUUGACUUCACGGACGAAGCCUAUGCCUUUGAGUUUUUCAACUUCUGCCUUCAUUGCCUUGUACCAUUCAACGUCAUAAGAUCUUCGCUUCUGUCUCACUGGCUUGGUCUUGGGGUCAAUACUUAAGCGAUGACAGAUGAUAUCGGGAAAGAUGCCUGGCAUGUCUUCGUAUGACCAGGCGAAAACCCCAGUGUUCUCUUCCAAAAAAGAGAUCAAUGCCAACCGAAUGGGUGGUGACAAGGUGGUGCCAAUCUUCACCAUGCGAUCCGGAUAAUCUUUUGAGAUAUAGACCUUCUCCAACUCUUCAGCAGGUUGUGCUUGCUGGGUGAAAGAGUCAUCUCGAGGAUCGUUGGGUUGACUAUUACCACCGUGAAGAUCCAAGUUGGCUUCGUCUGGGUUGGUCUUUAUGACUUGGUCAUGUAUAGAAAGGGUUUCCUUGGGCACAGGCAGGUGCUAUUGCUUGACCGAAGUGUUGUAACAUGAUCAUGCACUAAAUUGAUCUCCUCUGAUGUAACCAUUGCCAUAGGGGGGUUGGAAAUUUCAUCAACAACAUAUGUAUAGAUACCAUGGCCUUGAGAUUAUUGAUGCCUGUGCGUCCGAAGAUGACAUUGUAUGCCGUUGGGCAAUCAACCACCAGGAAGUUAGUGGUAAUGGUAGCUGUGUAAGGGUCUGUACCAAUGGCGAAAAGUAAAUGUAUGCUCCCCAAAGGUUGCACGAUAUCACCUGAAAAGCUUAUCAGAGGGGAAAUUGAGCAAUCGAGCAAGUGUUCAGCUACAUUAAGUGCCCUGAAAGCUUCAAUAAACAUGAUAUUAAUCGAAGCCCCCGUGUCUACCAGGAUUCGUCGUACUUCAAAGUUGGCUAUGUGAGCUUCCACGAUCAGUGGGUCGUUGUGAGGGUAGAUGAUACCUCUUUCUUCCUCAGGGUAGAAACAUAUUGGAUCCCAGUUAGGCUUUUGAUGCUUACCUCCCCUGAUAUCUUCCACGUGAAACACUUGGUGGCCAGACCUUAAAGCUCGUUCGCUAUUUUUCAUGGCCUUGUUAGAAUAUUUAGAUAUAGGUGUGCCACCACUUAUGGAAUAUAUCACAUUCACCUGGCGUUGGUUAUGGUUACCCCUUGGAGGGUGAAGGAGGAAUUGAUCAAUUUUUCCUUCACGUGCCAAAGCUUCAAUAUGAUCACGAAUAGUGAUACACUUCUCGCCGUUAUAGCCAUUAUGCUCGUGGUAGCAGCAAAACGUGCCCGUGUUCUUCGUGGGCUUGUAAUCCGGGUGCCUUGGCUUUGGCUUCAGUAUCAAGUGUGCUAUGCUGGGGUAAAUGACCACGCAUGUGGCGUUCAAAGGUGUGUAUGUCUCAUACCUUGAGGUAGGGGUUAUCCUGACACGUGCUUGACCUACUGUGUUGACUGCCUGAGGUCGAGGAUUAUCAUGGCGAUACCCUUGGUUAUCGCGGUAGUGUCCCUUACUCUUUUUACUAAAAUGAGACUAGUGAGGAUGAAAAUCUUUCCUUUUGCCCUGAGAUUGAUAUAUCUGUUGACUUGGCAAAGUAUAAAGUAAGGUAGGGGGAGGCAUCGCUGCCGUUUGGAAGGUCGAGGUCUUCUCAUUCAGUUGGAUCUGACUUCCACUCCCUACUUGUUGAUAAGGGGUGGCUGUGGGGGGUUUCCCUUGAUAUGUCUUUACCUCGGCGGAGGCAUGGUUGUAAGCUUAUGCCAUCACCUCAGAGUAAGUCUUCUAAGUGUUGACAUUGAUCAUGUACUUGAAGAAACAAUCACGUAGGUCUGCCGUGAAGACCUUGAGGGCGGUCUUGUCAUCUGCCUCAGCGCAGCGGGAAUACUCAUGGCUGAAACGACUAGCAUACCCUCGUAGUGACUCGUCUGGCUUCUGGCGAAUAUGUACAAGUCAUCUGCAGAAUGUAAGCAAUCGGUCUGGAAGAUGUGUUCAGAGACAAACAGUUUCCUCAGUUCCUCAAAUGAGUCUACUGUCUCAGGUGGAAGACGGCAAUACUAGUUUAAAGCUCUGCUAGAAAGGGUGGAGGGGAAGAGAAGAUAUCGCUAUUCGUCGGUGUGCAUCCGAUAUGCCGUGGUGGACUCAAAGAGGUUAAGGUGUUCAAUUAGGUCUUCCCUUCCAAUAUAGAGUUGUAAACCAAGCUUUUGUUUUGUUUUUGCUUGAAGGGGGGGUGUCGAGGAUCCUUCUUGUGAGAGGGCCAGGCCUAGGUUGGUUCCAGUAAGGUAUCUCAGCUUGACGUUCGGCCUUCAACUUGUUAAGGGGGUCCUGAGUGGAGUCAUGUACCAUUGGGAUUUUCUUUCGUAAGUCUCCAUCGCCUCUUAGAAGUAGGAAAGUUUGAGCAAGGGCGUGUGAUUUUUCCUUGGACUCGCCGUACUGACUUCUAGGGCGAGUCUGUCGGAAUACCUCAGAGUUUCCUGUACCUUCAUGUUCCUCUGGGACCUGUCGUUCUUUCCCUAGAUUGGCAGCUGGCCUGGAUCGUGGGAGGGGACUGACUCUUUCAGAAACCCUUGGGUUAUUGAUCUUUGAGCAUAUAUGGAGAGGAUUCUCUCAACGUUGCUUUAGAAAGUCUUGGCAGUCACGAUAAACGACUUUCGAUCCUUCCAACCCUUCUGCAAGAAGGUGUCUUCCUCCACUUCUCAUGUUUCGGGUCGAAGUAGCUGGGUUAAGAGAAGUCUCAUGUUGAUCAAUGUUUUGAUGAUUAGCUCGCUCCUCAUCAGAGAUACCCAUGUCGAAAGAAGGUGACCCUCCGUGUUGGGGGGCACCCAGAUGAUGGUUGAUAUCCACAGGGGCAACGAGCUCGCAUGUUUGAGUACGCCUAGUUUCGUGGAACGUCUCAAAGAGCUUCUCAUACUGCUCCUGGAGGACCUUAUUCUUCAUUGUUAUCUUGUUGUUCUGAGCUUCUAGCUCAUCGACUUUAGCUUGAAGAGCAACCCUUUUUCCUUCAUUCUUUCGUUGCUUCGCACUAAGUACAAGAGGGGUGUCAUUCUGUAUGCUGUGGCUUCCUUCGCACCCCAUGUUGGAGAGAGAUGCCUGGUCAAAAGAGAGUGUACGAAUUGUGGAAACCAGCUUGACAAAGCUGAAGAGAAUGGGAAUAAGUGUCGUUCCCACAGACGGCGCCAAAUGUUGAUACACAAAAUCAGUGAGGACUUUGGUACAACAGAAAGUGUUAAGUUUGUAACCUUCCCUAGAUUGCUUCAGUCACUAGUGUGGAUAAGUAUGUAAAUGGAUAGGGACAGGGAAGCAAACACAAGAUGUACGUGGUUCACCCAGAUUGGCUAUGUCCACAGAGUAGAUGAGUUCUCAUUAAUUGUGAAGGGUUUACACAAGUACAUAGGUUCAAGCUCUCCUUUAGUGAGUACUAGUGAAUGAUUUAGUACAAAUGACAUUAGAAAAUAUUGUGAGAGAAUGAUCUCUAUUUAUAGAAGAGAGUUUCUAGUUUCAUUUUGACAUUGACACGUGUCGUGUUGUGAUUGGCUUCUGAUGUUGACACGUGUCGCACAAUGAUUGGCUUCUAAUGUCGACACGUCUCGCGCUGUGAUUGGCCUCCUGGUUCUAAGGAAACUCUUCUGGGUCCUUGACGGUAUAACGUUGACCGGUGCUCAGUAGUUUCGGGAUUGGUCAAGUAUGGUACAAACAAGUUUCAAUUAGGGCUUAACAGCUGAUCACAUUGAUCAGAGAAUUAGUCUUGUUUUAUCAGAUCUUAUUAAAAUUUGAGGGAAGAUUAACAACUGACGCCGGCUUACUCUCAAGGCUAAUGCUCAGGUGAAUAUUCAUCUUUGGUUUAAAUUGUUCCUUCUUUUCUUCUUGUGUAGAAAACAUGUGGAAGUAGCGAUGUAACCCAUUUAUUUUGACUUUUAUUUAUAGUUUGCAAAUGAGCCGCACAUGUCUAAUGGCAUGGUCAAUUUGGACUACAAGGUCAUCUUUCAACUUACAUGUUUCAGUCCUUCAGGAACAUUUUAGUGUACUAGAUUGCCUUCAGCUUCGUUAAACUCUCCAAGUUUAGUUUUAGAAGUAGAUGGUGGUUCUCAUCUCAUGUGUCAUAUGGAUAUGGUGCUCCUAUGAUUACACAGGGUUCAAAUUCACCAAUCUCUCCAAAAUAACGACCUAAUGUGAAGCAAUAAGAAAGACUUGUUCAUAUUGGUGCAUAAAUUAGAUGGCAUGCAAGGUCACCUACUAAAAGAAAGUGAAUACAACAAACUGUCACGCAAUAAGAAAGGCUUGGUGCAGAAGUUAGACUCUGAUGUUUUGAAGAGGUGGACGAGUGUUUCAAACUUGGUUGUUCAUUGACUCGCGUACUCAGUGAGAUGUGAAAUGUUGUGUUGAUUUUUUAUUUACGUUGCUGGUAACUUAGUCAAAGUGUAAUCGGAUUACGUUGCGGAUUGUGAUUGAAAAGUAGUGGAGAGAUUUUGUCGAGUUUGGGUUAGCAACUUAAUGAGAAGUUACAUAAAUAUUUCAUUUUCAUUUUUGUUGCUUCCCAUUCCAUACUCAAAGGCAUUUCAAGCACCCAUUUACCAAUAAGAAAAUCACUUUAGCCCAUUGGUACUUUAAGUUGGGGAGUUUUCUAACCGCAUUUUCCCUCUCGUGAUCGAAACAAUAUAUGAUGGAGUGUUUAUGGUUAAGAAUGUCAGUUCUGUUGUAGAAGGAAAAAGAAAAUGAAAGACUCAGAUAUCUUUUCUAUGUUAAAAUUGAUUUUGCUAAAACUAUACAAAUUUGCUUUACUAAAAAUUAUAUAAAAUUGACUCUACAUAUAUUUAAAGCUAAUUAUGCAAAAAUGAUCGAGAUUAGGUUGGGCUAAUGACGUGUAUGUAAUUUUGUUAAUGUUGUACAUAUUUGAAACUGAUUCUGCAACGAUGGUUGAAGACGAGUUGAACUGAUUCUGCAAAAAUGGUCAAGGACGGGUUGAACGAGGACGGGCUGAACUAAUUCUAGAAAAAUGGUCGAGAACGGGUUGAACUGAUUCCACAAAAAUUAUCAAAAACUGGUUGAACUGAUUUUGCAAAAAUGGUGGGAUGGAUUGAUUCUGCAAAAAUGGUCGAAGAUGAGUUGUACUGAUACUGCAAAAUGGUCAAAGACUGGUUGAACUAAUUCUGCAAAAUGGUCAAAAAGGGGUUGAACUGAUUCUGCCAAAAUAAUUGAAGACGAGUUGAACUGAUUGAUUCUGCAAAAUUGGUUAAAGACAGGUUGAACUGAUUAUGCAAAAAUGGUUAAGAAUAGGUUGAACUGAUUCUGCAAAAAUGGUUGAAGACAGAUAAAUUGAUUAUGUAAGAAUGGUCUAAGAUGGGUUGAACUGAUUCUGUAAAAAUUAUCGAGAACGGGUUGAAUUGAUUCUGCAAAAAUGGUCGAGGGCUGUUUGAAUGGUUUUGCAAAAAUGUUUGAAGAUGAGUUGAACUGAUUCUGCAUAAAUGGUCGAUGACGGGUUGAACUGAUUCUAGUAAUAAAGGAUACAAACUAGGGGUGGGCAAACGGGUCCAGGACUCGCGGGUAGGGGCGGAUCCUUGCGGUUCGGGCGGGUCCAAAAAUUAUAAAUACGAAACAGGGCAGGGCGGGCCGGUUCUUGGUAAAUAACGGGGCGGGCCGGUUCUUGGUAAAUAACGGGGCGGGCCGGUUUUAAAAAUUUGAGAAAACGGGCCCCCGACCCGGACCGUUCUCUACCCCCUCUAAUAUCUAUCCUUUUUUUGUCAAAUAUACAUCUCAGACCUCCACCCAAUUGGGCCAAUUCACUCUACUCUUCAUCCCUCCCCUCACAUCACCUUCUCUUUCUAUCCUGACUUCGACUCCGACUCUCCUCCCUCUAUCUCUCCUCGCAUCUUUUUUCUUUUCUCGUAUCAGACCUCUCUUAAGCCCAGGCUCCCAUCUUAAACCUCAAUCUCGACCACUCCUUCUUCUGACAUGCUGCAGAUGCACUUCUAUGAGACUUGUGACGGUCAACACAGUCUUCGAGUUGCACAAGCUGCUGGCCCGACUCGACCUUGUUUGACUCGUUGGAGGGGUCGGCGAACAGGUAGGAUAAGGUGAUGUUGGAGGUUUAUUUGGGGAAGCAAAUCUACAAUCUUGGUGGCGUGCGAAGGGUUGGACCAGGUGGAGAGGUACGAUCACUAUCGUGGCAUCCUCUCCUAACUCUCCAUUGUGGCAUCCCUAGGUAAUUUAUAAAUUAGGGUUUUUGAUUUAGGAAAUUAGGGUUUCCGAUUUAGGAAAUUAGGGUUUUUUAUUUAGGAAUUGAGGGUUUUUUAUUUAUGUGGGUUUUUUAUUUAGGAAUUUUGUGGGUUUCUGAUUUUGUUUUGAUUCAUCAACUGAUGUAAUUUGUAAUUGCGAGGGUGGAGGUCUUGGAUCCAUGGAAAGAUGAUGUCUCUGGUUCGAUUUGCCGAUUUGAACAAUUUGAUUAUUUAUGAGAUUGAUUUGAUGUAGUUUUGUGCGUAAGAGUAAUGGGUUCUGUUUGAAACUAUGGAUCUGGGAUUUCAUGGUUUGCUUAUUUCGGGACAUGCAUGGAAGUUAACAUGUGCGGAGUAUACAUAAAUGUUUGUAGGAUUUGUUUUUCUGUGUUCUGAGUAGUGCAAAUGAGGGUCUAAAAUUGUUGGUUUUGCUUCUGCUUCUGCUUCUGCUCAGUAUAUCGGGGCAGUUCCAAAACCGAAUUUAAAAAAAAAAAAAAAAGUAAUUGGACCCGUGGACCUGUCCCGAACUGGACCGGCCCAUGCCCAACCCUAAUACAAACUGAUUCUGCAUAAAAUUUAUAAACUGAUUCUGCAUAAAUAGUUGAGGAUAAGCUUAUGGCACAUAUUAAUUUUGUUGGAUUUGUGAGGGCUGGAUUCUCUUAACAACACUAAAGCAUAGGGGUAUAGCUGGUAUUUUAAAACAUUGUUUUCAUGUUUUUGGGCUGGGCUUUAGUUGGUUUUAUGUUUAUGUCUCUCAUUGACAUGUUUAAAAACUAGUGGAGUUUCUUGAAAUAUAGUGAAAGUUUUUGUUUCUAUAUAUAAAGUUAUCUUGAUAUUACUUAUUUGUGUUAUAACAUGCAUAUUUAUUUAUUUCUAUUAUUUUAUUAGACUCUGAUGUAAUAAAUUAAUAAUAUUAUUCUUAUCAUUUAAAUUUAUGACAAUUUUAUAUCCCCUGAUGUGACAGGUGAGGUGGACAACCAAGUUAAUUAUAAAGAAUUGUGUGGCAGUUGAGGUAGAUAAUCACAUAAAUAAAAAAAUCUCAAAUUUUCAUUAAUAAAAAGUUUAAGAAAUAAUUCAAACCCUAAAUUUUAGGUGCCCUUAGUUUAUCUUCCUCCCUCACCUCUUUCUGUCAUCAACUUGCUUCUCAAGACCAGUUUUGUUUUUUUCUCCCAAAUGUCGUCAAUCUACAUGUCCAUAGAAUUAUAUCUUCUAACUCAUGAUUAAUUUGUUCAUGUUAUACCAUUCGUUGAUGUUGAUGAAUUAUCCACAUCCUUUGUUGAUAACUAAUUGGGUUAUAACUUGAAAAAAUUGACAAUCUUAUGGGAAGCACUCAUUAGUGACGGUUAAUUGAUGCGAUGCUUGACAGUUGGAAAACUUCUAACUGUAUAAUCUCUGAAAUAGUCACCAUCAGUUCAUUUGCUAGAGAAGGAUGGGUUGGAGCUGUGAUAGUCAGGAGGUUGAAGAAGCGAUGUGAAUGUGGACAGAGGAGAGGGAGGAGGAGGCUAGAGGGAGGGAGGCAUGAAAACGUACAAAACUAGGGUUUGAAAUUUGAGAUUUUGAUGUGAUUAACCUUAUUUUUCACAAUAUUUUUUACAAUUGGUAUGGCUUACGCACCUCAAUUGCCACAUAAGAUGGUAUAAAGUGUGGUACAUUUAGAUAGAAAUAAUAGCAUUACUCAUAUUAAAUAUGACGUAACAUGUGAAUUUAUGGCACCUCAUGUUGAUUUGUCUAUCACACUAAAAAAAUUUCUCUUCCCUUUCCACCCUUCCUUUUGUGUUACGUGGAGUAUCACAUGGCCGAUCAUUGAUUGGCCAAUCUCUUACCUCAUCAUUUUAUAUUAGAUAGAUGAUACAUAUGAUUGUUGAUUGAAAUGGUACGCUAGACCCUAUACCUGACUCAAUACAACAACAUUAAUCUUAUAAAAGGAGUCGCCACUUAAUACUACGGUCUAGUGGUAUUCCUGCUCACUUAUAAGUGAUAGGAAAAAAAAUUAUAAAAGGAGUCUAGAGUUUGCCAAGGAGAGGAUACAUUUUUGUAUGGCUCAGUCUCGAUUCUUUUUAUGCCUUAAAGACAUAAAAGUUUAUAAUUUAUUUGGUGAAUGCCAAAUACGACAAGUGAGAUAAUCUUUAGUGAAUGACUCAAUUAAAAUCUAGAAGCCUAAGUCUAAAAACUAAUCUUAACCUAAAUGAUUAAGUUGCAGUAAAAUCAAAGAGGCCGGUAUCACUUGACUUUACCUCGGACUAGAAUAGCAACUUGGUUAAGAAAAAACACUUCAUGUAGGGAUUUACAAGGUCUUAAACUAACAUUUUCGCAACCGAAAUGCUCCGAGGUUUGAAUUCGAAAAUGGACUGCCGUACCUAGGUCCAAUUUGAAGAAAGUUAGGGUUUCAUUAUAAAAUUAAUUGGCAAUAUAAGGAGUGGUCUAACUACUUGUAAGCACAUACAAGGGAGGUCCCUUCUCCCAUCAAUGUCUAGAUCCCCUCACCAAUAGGGUUUAUAUCUCCAGGUAUGUCUACUUUGAUGAAUCAUUUGUUUUAUACCAUAAAACCAAUUGACAAUAUAAGGAGAAGUCCAACUACUUAUAUGUUAUAAGCACAUUUGUGGUCCCUUAUACCAUUAAUGUGGGACUGCAUUCUCAGCACGCCCCCUUACAUGUGACGAAUUUUCAAGCCUAGUAUGUGGACAACACAAAUGGGGGUGACUUGGAGUGCAUGGGGCUAUGGGGCAUCACUUGUGUAGCAACCUGCUCUAAUACCAUAAAGAAAGUUGGAGUUCUAGCAUAAACCAAUUGGCACUAUGAAGAGGAGCUAGCCCAACUACUUAUAAGCACAUGAAGGUUCAUUUUCCUAUCAAUGUGAGAUUUAUAACACAAUUCUUAUUCAGGCUCAAGCAACGAGGACAGGCGAAUACAUGAGCUUAGAUGCAAGGGAUGAACAACACUUCAUUAGAGCAACAAGCCCAGCUAGUAGGUUGUCACCAUCUUUUGGUAUACGAAUCUUUUUCUCAUUGACAGUCCAACGAUGCAGUUAUUUGCUCGUUAUGUCUGUUGAAAGGGAAUGUUGUGAUUGUGGUGUCUCAGUUAGUCACAGUCUCAACUCAAAAGAUCAACCCACUUCCCUUAACUUCACUUCCUAAACAUCCCAACAAAUUAAUGCAACAAAAGAAAGCACUCCCCACCAACUUGAAUUUUCCAAUCUUUCUAAUUAUCUCCUAACUAAAGUAGUUCAGUGAUAUUUUGAUGGUGUCCCCAAGUUGCUAACACACACACCUGCCUCAUCUCUAAGUAUGUACGACUCUCAUUGAGAUAUUGUUCAUAGGGCCAAUCUGAUUUGGAUCUAUGUCAGCUGGAUAAUAGUAGAUCAUUUUCUCAUAGGUCCACAUGGAUUUAAGUAUAAUAAAAAAUCUUAUCGCUUGAUGCUUUCUACUUAUAAGAUAAGGUUUGAGAACAUUUCCAUUGCUAAUCGUAUACAUGGCAAUGAGACAUGAUUAGACGCGUGAAGUGGGAAAUGUGACUGUGAUGUUCUUGGGGGACUUGGCAAUGAGAACACAAUGUUACAGUAUCUUUGGAGGGAAGGAGUUAUCUACACUAUGAAAUGUCAUCGUAGCGUUGAAAUCAAUAAUACAAUUAUUAUGUAUUAUAACUUUUCUCACAAGACAUUAUAUUAUUGGUUUGGGACACUACAAUGGUGUUUCUCCAUUUGGAGAAGUCAACUUAGUCAACUGGAGUCACAAAAAUUUCAUUAUUUAAAAAAAAUAUUCAGUUGUCACAUGAUAUUAAUAAUUAAUGAACGUGUUAUAGUAUGAGUUAUACCAUCAAAGUUGAUAUUUUCAUAUGAGUGGGAUAACAAACGUGCACACCAAAAACUUUCUAAAGCAAAAUCACAACACAUAUGGGGGCACCUAACUGCAACAGGAAUCUCAACUGUUCUACUUAGAACUAGUUUGAACAAGAGGGACAAUCAUUAAUGGGAGGCAAAAUUUAUCCGAUGAGGACUUUUAAGGUGAGAGAGAUACACGCUGCUAGUGCACGUGGCAUGGAGGUGAUGUGAAGGUACAAGUGGACCCUGCGACUUAACAUUUGGAAGGCUUGAAGCUAGUUUAUAAGGAGUGGAUGUUAAAAUAUUCCAAGACAAGUACUUGAGAUCUUCAGCCACUAAAUUAGGGUUUAGAAUUGGAGGAGUCAUAAUUUGUUCGUGAAAGUAGCAAAGCUAUAAAUAUUGGUCAUGGGAAGCAUGGGCAGGAGACUUGCCAAGUGGAAAAGAAUGGUGAGGCAACAAAAAGGGAAGCUCUAUAUUACUAGGGUUUGCAUUUCUAUGCUUCUUGGUUGGCACAAGUACGCUUGAUCGUUCGGGCCAUGCAUUGCAUGCAGUCCCAUAAUAUGUAUGCGUAAAAUUAGUACGUUCUAUAUCGAUAGGUGUUGAUAUGUGGAGAAGCAUGUAUGUUAGAUUGUGAGAAAUUCUCAAGAGUAAUCAGAGAUGUAUUUCACUAUUUUUAUAUCUCUUAUCACGUGACAUGAUCAUUCAAUGAGAGUACAGAAAAAGAAAAUGUGGGAUAUGUUUUCGAUUGCAUGUUGAAUUUCUAAAUUAAGAAGAGGUUUUACUGUAUCAUUAACGCACUCUAUUAAUGUUUUCUCCUAGUUAAGAAUGAGAUGUUUAUAGUGAUCAACUCAAUUUAUCGAGAAUAAUAUUUUUAUGUAAGUGCAAAUUUUAAGUUGUAAAUAUUGGUUUGAGUAUGUUUUUUUUUUUUUUUUUUUUUUUUUUUUUUUGUGUUUCCUAUAAUAUAGCACAAGAGGGGAACAUGAUCUAACAAGGUGGAUUUUGUGGUGUUGAUCAGCAACUAUAUAAAAUUACGAAGUACGAUAAAUCCAAGCGUGAAGUAUUUAUAUAUGUACCUACUCAAGCAUGCAGUCUUAUAUACUCUUCAUAUAUAUAUACAUGUAUAAAUCGUGUACAGAACUUGGAAAUAAGUUUUAAGGAAUACAUCCAAAGGCUCCCUGAAAUUCUGGAAGAGAAAUAGUUUAAUUUGUUAAGCCAUCUAUAUCCUUAACAUACAUAGAUAAUAUAUAUAUAUAUAUAUAUAUAGCUAGACACACACACAUGUACUAUGGUUAGUUCAUUCAAUGGACAAAUUGCAGCCUAUAAUAAUGGCGGACAGAGGUGGCCUUGAGAUUAGUAUGGAAAACUCCAAUCCUUGUCAAGUUUUUCAGGUGAUUGAACAGGGAGACAAAGCUCAUGUGUCUGCUUUAUCAUCUUUGUUCUCAAUGGGACCCCCACUACUUGUAAACCCAUUCAACGGCCGACACUUGUCACCCUACCAUGUACUGCCGCGUCUGAUCCUUCCUAUGUGCCUCUCUAUAAUGCAAGGCUAGCUAGCUCAAGUUCUUCCAUGACCAAUAUUACAACCUUGAAAUUUUUCAUACCAACGUACAAGUAUUCCUCUCUCUCUCUCUCUCUCUCUCUCUCUCUGAAAUAGUCUCAACAGUUGCCGUCUAACAUGAAGGGAGAGUUGUCUUCCGUUCGAACGCCCAAGCUCCGGUCGUGGGAGAAAUGCUCGAGGUUGAUGAGGGAGCAGCGGACACGAUUAUAUAUCAUGUGGAGGUGUACUGUCAUACUUCUUUGUUGGGAUGAGUGACGGAGAGGUGACUGUUUUUACCAUGCAAGGGUUGAAGUUGUGUUCUUGUGAUUUUGAAUUUCCUAUUGAAAUUGGAUCCAAAUAGUUUACAAGAAUGUAAAGCUACUUGUGUCUGGGAAGAGUUUAAAUACUAAUACCAUGUAAUUAAACGAAUGUUACAUGUAAAAUUCAAUGAUAGUACUACAUGUAAUGUACUAUGUUUACUGAGCUCAUUUAGACUCCACAUAUUUAAUAGAGGUGACAUUUUCUUUAUCCGCAAAUAUCACCCUCCAUAAUAGGUUAAUUGUUGUGAAUUCUGCACUGAUGCAUUCUUUUGAACCAUACUUUAGCCUACCUUUUAAUUUGGAGAUCAAAUGUAGGAUGUCGUCUCAUAUGGUAUUAGAGUUGCAUGAGAGAUUAGUCUGUUAUCAAUAUGUGUUGAUAUAUUAAAAAAAGAAAUAAAGAAAUAAAAGAAUAGCUUAAUUGCUGUGCCAGAAAAGCUUAUUAUUACAAAUUUGAUGCCAAUAAAGCUUGUUUAGUAUCGUGGCCAUUUGCUGCAGAGCAUGCAAGUUGUAAAUUUGUAAAAUCAUGGUGGGAGCGAGAAUUUAUCACUACGCCCGAGAUGUCUUGUUUGAUUCCGUUUUCCCUCAAUAUCGCUUGUAUCCAAUAAAAAUAUUGAAGGAAUCCUCAGCGAGCUAGCAUGUAUCACGCAUGUCCUUUCUUGGUCUUGAAGUAAUAUCUUCGCUUAAACCUGAACUAGGAACACAACGGAAAUUGAAAGUCGAGAAUUCAAGGAACAAACUGUCUUCAUUUAUUUACUUCUUAUUGUACAGAUCUGAAUAUUUCUGUAAACUUGCAUAGCAGAAAGAAUCGUGCAUGGAAACCUUGCACUUGUUAUUGAACUACUUUCUCCAUAUACCGUCGUUUACAAAACAAAAAGUAGAGCCAGCCAAAGAGGCAGCUCGACCUAUCGAUUUAAUAUGAACCAAAAACGAGUGGAAAUAAUUAGUAAGGUACCAAACUUCCAAUGAUAUCCUCCUAUGCAAUCUAAUGUAGAACUCCACCUCUCGAAACCUACCUGCCACCCGGAGAACAAAAAUUGAAAACAAAAACAAACAACUUUCAUAGAUGCAAGUCAAAGCCAGUUCCCUGAGGAGCAACCGGAUCAGGAAAUGACGAAUGAGCAAGAUGAAUCUUCUCAUAUUUCAAAGACGGGGUUCGCCAGAAGUCCGUUGCAAUGUUGCCGAGGGCCAAUCAUCAGCAGAUUUCUUGAGGGUUAGUCCUUGCUUACUUUUUGGCCUGCCUAGGGCAUCAUCACAAUAAGAACAAGAAAACAUUAGUCAGCUUCGACCACUGGACAAAAAUUGAACAUUAAAAAAAGAGUGAAUGUUGAGAGGCAAAUCAACUGCCCAGACCCCUUCGAAAAUAACAGAUUGAAAAGGGGGAAUACAUUUUGUCCAGUGGCAGGUCCCUUGUUCACAUUUAACCUCCGAGUUGAUGGAGCCCGUGCCACUGAUGAAGCAGCUGCAGCUGCAGCGACACGUAUUCUGCAAGGAUGAAGAAGAUUAAUCCACUUUCAAAUUAUAACUUUCGUACAUAAUGUCAACCAACUAUUUUCUUUUGUCACUCUAUGAUACCUUUUAUGUACAUCAACAUAUUCAUCUGUUUCAUCCACAAUCUCCUCCUGCAUUUUUCAAGACAAUCAUCACUACAACCAAAUAAACAAUUUUCAUUAACUGAAAGCACGAGAAUAUCAGUUGCGUGUACAUUACCUGCAGGAGUUCUUCAAAUACAUCUUCCAGAGUGAUAAUCCCAAUGACUUCACCCUCCUCGAUAUCCUCUUAUACAGUGGCGGAUCCAGGAUUUUAACUUAGGGUGGUCCCAAUAUAAAAGCUUCAAAAAAAAAAAAAAAAAAAAAGAAGAAAAUAUCAUUGAACAAAUAAAUGGCAAACUACAAUUUUCAUUCAUAAUCUUUGUGCUAAACAAGCUAGAAAUACUAAAUUUGUCCACGACGGGAUCACAUACUUUGAAAACGUGUUAUGAUAGUUUCAUUGUCAAUACAAAAAAAAAACAUUUUUAGCUCUAAAAGGCUCCAUUAAUAUAUAUGCUAUUCGGACCUCAUCUCGAAUAUUUGGAGGAUAAUCCUUCAUUGGAAUUCUCUUUCCGGGGUCUCUCUCAAGAUUAUCCUAAUCAAUUUUUAACUCAUUUUGUUGUGGAGUGUAAUUACCCCCAAUUGGAUCGGACCUAUUUGGAAUUGGAGGGGAACUAUUCGGAAUAGGAUUGGAACUAUCCAAGUUUGGAGAUGAACUAUUUGGAAUAUGAUUGUCCGAACUAUUCGAUGAUGAUUUCGCUUGUAAUAUCGUUCCAUACUUUUAAUUUCUACACAUAUCAAUUAAUAAAAAAAUCUAUGUCAAUUGAUGAAACUAAAAAUAUGUAUGAACUAAAAACCCUAACUGUAACACAAUCUUCAACAAAAGAAACCCUAUAACACAAUCCAAGUAAUAUCAGAAAAUCCUAACGAAUCAACAAUAAAUAUGUAUGAACUAACACUAAAAUAGAUAUGAAAAAAAUCAUUUGCAAGAUUCACUGUUCGGCCCCUUUGUUUUUAAUUAGUGUUCUUUAAAAAAAAAUUACCUAAAAGUCUAAAACUAAAAAUCCUAACAAAUUAACAAUAAAUAUGUAUCAACUAACACUAAAAAUAAGUAAGAACUAACACUAAAUUAGAAAUCUUACAGAAAUGUGGGUUUGGUGGUAAACACACGUACAUUCGAGACGGAAGUUGAACAGGGAGCAGAGAGCAGAAAUUGCUAUGGAGAGCAUGAAUGUUCAUUCUGUUUAAAGGUCUGAGUCUGAAUAAAAUCAUCCACAAAAUCACGAUCUGAAUACCAAUAUAUUGAAAACAAAGCAAAUCACAAAGUUGGGGUUACUUGGGUAGUGUGAGGAUUCCUCCUGUUUGAAAACUUACAGACAAUUUGCUAUUAUUGGUGAAGUAAAGUUGAUUGAAAGCACUAUUCUAUAAAAGAUGGUGAGUCUGACUUUUCUAUAAACAAUAAAAGAUGGUGACUGGCGAGUGCUCUAUCACGUGAAGGUGAGGAGUUUUUAAACUUUUUUAAUAACUUGGCUCAAAACGACGUCGUUUUGGCCAAGUUAUUUUUUAAAAAAAAAUUGACUUUCUUCUUCCUCCUUCCGUUUUGCACAGCUUGCAGCAGCCAUGGCUGCUGUUCUUCUGCCCAGAUUUGGAUGGUCCUUGAAGAUCCUCACAGCCGUUUGUCCUAGCUUCCGAGUGGUCCUAGGACCACCCUAGUCCCUUAAUGGAUCCGCCCCUGCUCUUAUACCUGGAGCAAACCAUUUGUUGCUUUAUCACUAUGAGGUGAAAAAGUUUCCUUGUGUCUAUGAGGGGGCCUUGGUAUCCUGGGUAUAUCAACAACAACACUGUUCGGCUUUCCAUCCUACCUGGAUAGCAAAUGAGUAGUCGGUUGGGAGUCUGUGCCAGUGUCUCCGUUCCAUUCGAGAGAUUUUUCAAUGUAACCAAUACACGAGGUGGUACACCACGUGUCAUUAUACAAAUGGUGGGAUAUGUGUGCUAAAAAGUUAAUAACUUAAAAAAUAAAAUUUCUCACCAUUUCUAUUAAAACACAUGGUGUACCACUUGUGUUUCCGUUACAAUUAAAAAUUUCUCGUUCCGUUCAUCUCUCCUUCAAUCAAUGGUUGGUCGAGGAAUUUUUGUUAAGAUAUGGGUAGGAAAAUAAGACAUAGAAGUGGGGAUAUUAGCACUCUUAACUUUUUUAUUUUUUUUUAGAAUGUAAGUUACAAAAUUACC
This 26924-nucleotide long non-coding RNA is filed under the name Malus domestica (apple). RNAcentral's name for it is "long non-coding RNA (MDOM_LNC016270)". The record is from RNAcentral. Lineage: Eukaryota; Viridiplantae; Streptophyta; Magnoliopsida; Rosales; Rosaceae.